AUUGAACGCUGGCGGAAUGCUUUACACAUGCAAGUCGAACGGCAGCACGGGUGCUUGCACCUGGUGGCGAGUGGCGAACGGGUGAGUAAUACAUCGGAACGUACCCAGUUAUGGGGGAUAACUAACCGAAAGGUUAGCUAAUACCGCAUACGCCCUGAGGGGGCAAGCGGGGGACCGUACGGCCUCGCGUAAUUGGAGCGGCAGAUGUCUGAUUAGCUAGUUGGUGAGGUAAAGGCUCACCAAGGCGACGAUCAGUAGCAGGUCUGAGAGGAUGAUCUGCCACACUGGAACUGAGACACGGUCCAGACUCCUACGGGAGGCAGCAGUGGGGAAUUUUGGACAAUGGGCGAAAGCCUGAUCCAGCCAUUCCGCGUGAGUGAAGAAGGCCUUCGGGUUGUAAAGCUCUUUCGGCAGGGAAGAAACGGUCUAGGUUAAUACCUUGGGCUAAUGACGGUACCUGAAGAAGAAGCACCGGCUAACUACGUGCCAGCCGCCGCGGUAA
This 502-nucleotide ribosomal RNA is filed under the name uncultured bacterium. Its description in RNAcentral is "partial 16S ribosomal RNA". It matches the Rfam family "Bacterial small subunit ribosomal RNA", at positions 30 to 523 of the family's 1533-position model. The record is from RNAcentral.